UACGAAGGGAGCGAGCGUUAUUCGGAAUUACUGGGCGUAAAGGACGCGUAGGCGGUUUAUUAAGUUAGUUGUUAAAUUCCAGGGCUUAACCCUGGGCCAGCAAUUAAUACUGAUGGAACUAGAGUGUAGAAGAGAGGGGUGGAAUUCUCGGAGUAGCGGUAAAAUGCGUAGAUCUCGAGAGGAACACCGAUGGCGAAGGCAGCCCCUUGGUCUAUAACUGACGCUAAAGCGUGAAAGCGUGGGGAGCAAACAGG
Molecule: ribosomal RNA, 254 nt
Filed under: uncultured bacterium
Lineage: Bacteria
Description: partial 16S ribosomal RNA
Rfam family: Bacterial small subunit ribosomal RNA
Source: RNAcentral